GGGAGCAAACAGGAUUAGAUACCCUGGUAGUCCACGCCGUAAACGAUGUCGACUUGGAGGUUGUGCCCUUGAGGCGUGGCUUCCGGAGCUAACGCGUUAAGUCGACCGCCUGGGGAGUACGGCCGCAAGGUUAAAACUCAAAUGAAUUGACGGGGGCCCGCACAAGCGGUGGAGCAUGUGGUUUAAUUCGAUGCAACGCGAAGAACCUUACCUGGUCUUGACAUCCACGGAAGUUUUCAGAGAUGAGAAUGUGCCUUCGGGAACCGUGAGACAGGUGCUGCAUGGCUGUCGUCAGCUCGUGUUGUGAAAUGUUGGGUUAAGUCCCGCAACGAGCGCAACCCUUAUCCUUUGUUGCCAGCGGUCCGGCCGGGAACUCAAAGGAGACUGCCAGUGAUAAACUGGAGGAAGGUGGGGAUGACGUCAAGUCAUCAUGGCCCUUACGACCAGGGCUACACACGUGCUACAAUGGCGCAUACAAAGAGAAGCGACCUCGCGAGAGCAAGCGGACCUCAUAAAGUGCGUCGUAGUCCGGAUUGGAGUCUGCAACUCGACUCCAUGAAGUCGGAAUCGCUAGUAAUCGUGGAUCAGAAUGCCACGGUGAAUACGUUCCCGGGCCUUGUACACACCGCCCGUCACACCAUGGGAGUGGGUUGCAAAAGAAGUAGGUAGCUUAACCUUCGG
RNAcentral lists this ribosomal RNA (681 nucleotides) under Escherichia sp. Its description in RNAcentral is "bacterial SSU rRNA". It matches the Rfam family "Bacterial small subunit ribosomal RNA", at positions 764 to 1445 of the family's 1533-position model. Lineage: Bacteria; Pseudomonadati; Pseudomonadota; Gammaproteobacteria; Enterobacterales; Enterobacteriaceae. The record is from RNAcentral.